UUACACAAAUAUGAAGGCGGGCUGGAACCUCUCGGGGUUACAGCCUUGCUGAAUUAUUCACCCUUGUCUUUUGCGUACUUCUUGUUUCCUUGGUGGGUUCGCCCACCACUAGGACAAACAUAAACCUUUUGUAAUUGCAAUCAGCGUCAGUAACAAAUUAAUAAUUACAACUUUCAACAACGGAUCUCUUGGUUCUGGCAUCGAUGAAGAACGCAGCGAAAUGCGAUAAGUAGUGUGAAUUGCAGAAUUCAGUGAAUCAUCGAAUCUUUGAACGCACAUUGCGCCCUUUGGUAUUCCAAAGGGCAUGCCUGUUCGAGCGUCAUUUGUACCCUCAAGCUUUGCUUGGUGUUGGGCGUCUUGUCUCUAGCUUUGCUGGAGACUCGCCUUAAAGUAAUUGGCAGCCGGCCUACUGGUUUCGGAGCGCAGCACAAGUCGCACUCUCUAUCAGCAAAGGUCUAGCAUCCAUUAAGCCUUUUUUUCAACUUUUGACCUCGGAUCAGGUAGGGAUACCCGCUGAACUUAAGCAUAUCAAUAAGCGGAGGAAAAGAAACCAACAGGGAUUGCCCUAGUAACGGCGAGUGAAGCGGCAACAGCUCAAAUUUGAAAUCUGGCUCUUUUAGAGUCCGAGUUGUAAUUUGCAGAGGGCGCUUUGGCUUUGGCAGCGGUCCAAGUUCCUUGGAACAGGACGUCACAGAGGGUGAGAAUCCCGUACGUGGUCGCUGGCUAUUGCCGUGUAAAGCCCCUUCGACGA
Molecule: ribosomal RNA, 751 nt
Filed under: fungal endophyte
Lineage: Eukaryota; Fungi
Description: eukaryotic LSU rRNA
Rfam family: Eukaryotic large subunit ribosomal RNA (bases 487-751)
Source: RNAcentral